This 12085-nucleotide long non-coding RNA is filed under the name Hordeum vulgare. Its description in RNAcentral is "long non-coding RNA (HVUL_LNC012082)". The record is from RNAcentral. Lineage: Eukaryota; Viridiplantae; Streptophyta; Magnoliopsida; Poales; Poaceae.
GGGCCAGCUGAAGGAGGCCCAAUAACCGAAGCUCGACCGGCUGGCAGAGCAGCAGAGCGAGGCGCUACGUGGGAGGGAUGAGCAGGUGGGUAAAGCGACCGAGGAGGUCGCCCAGCUAAAGGUAGUGUAUGAGCGACGGGCUAACGAGUGGUAGCUGAAGGAGCAGGUGGUGCUAGCUCAGGCACAACACAUCAACAUGCUCCUCUCUCGUAAGUUUUUGUUAGAUAUUCCAAACGGCAGUUAGAGUUUUAAUUGCAUACGUUGAGUUGAGUAUGUGAGUCGGCAAGUUGUAAUCACGGGGAGAUUGUGGUGAGCAAUCUGGUCUGUCAGUUAGACUUGUCGUGGUCGAGUUCGCAAGUAGAUAAGUUGGACUAGGGAGAGAUUGUUAGGUAUUCCAAACUGCAGUUAGAGAUUUAAUUGCAUACGUGAGUUAGUACGAGUCCUAGUUGUUGUUAGGUUGUGGGUUAGUCGGUUUUGUGUCCGUGUAAUGACAAGUCAUGUAAUCAACUAUUCUCUCCCUAAUAAUAAAGCAAAUACUGUUUCUGGUCGUCCAUCUUGAAAAUUACACCUAAAAUUUGCAUAAAUUACCCACCAUGCCACCGGUAAGUAAUAGAAAACGUUUUAUAAAGCAAAAAAUCUUGGACUGGGCCGGCCCAUGUAAAAACGUCAUAUAUUACGCUCUGCACGCUGAGAGAAUAUCCAACACACCGUAUGGGCCGGCCCAUGCACAGGCGCCUGCUUUUAGUUCCAUUUAUUUAUUUAUUUCCAGUUCCGCUUUAUUUUUUUAUUUUAAAUAAUUUAGAACUUUAAAUAAUCUUUAAAAUUUUAAUAAACUGAAAAUUAUAAAACAACACAUUUCAAAAAUUAAAAUGUUUGUGACUUCAAAAACUGAUCGGAGUUUUGUAAAAAAUACUCGCAUGUACAAUAAAAUGUUUGCAAUUUUAGAAAAAUAUUUUACAAUAAGAAAAUUCUGUGAUCUCAAAUACAAUUCCAUGUAUUAAAAAUUAUUAAAGGCAUUUAACAAAAUUCUUUCUAAUUCAAACUAUGUUAAUUCAUUGAAAAAAUGUCCUAAUAUUUUAAAAAUAGCUAAUGCCUGUUUUGAUAGUUUCUUUUUUUUAAUUUAAAAUUUUGCGCUCCAUUUUUGUUUAUUUAUAAUUUAAAUAAUUUAGAAUUACAAAAACUUUUGCAUACUAACAUAUAGGAAUUUCGAAUUAAAAUACUGACGAAUUUUUAUUUUGAAUUAAAAAUAGGAUUUAAAAAAAGCGCCGGAUUUUUAUAUAUUUUUUUGCAAAUUCCAAAACAAUGUCCAUGAAUUUAAUAAAUGUAUUACUUAUUUAUAAAAAUGUUUGUUUAUUCAGAAAACUUCAUGCGUUUCAAAAAAUGUUUGUGAAUUUAAAAUAAAAUCCUCCAACAUCAAAAAUUAUGUUCGUCUUUUCUUGAAUUGGUCGCCAAUUCCAAAGAAAAUAUUUAAACCCGUUCGAAGUAUAAAAAAUAUUCAUGAUUUUUAGUAAAUGUUUGUAAAUUGUAAAAAAUGUUCUUGAUUUUAUAAUUGUUCCCAUAUUUGUAAAAAAGUUCACGAAAGAUCUAAUGUAUGUAGUUAAACAUUAAUGCUUCUAAGUCUAUGUGACAAUAUAUCUGUGUGAAUUUUGAAGAAUUAACUGUUGGAUGCAUCGGAUUAUUAUUGUAUGUUUUCUAAAAAAAAUCUUGAAAUUCAGAAUAAAUCUUUGAGUUACCAAGAUUUUUGAAAAUGUAAAGAUUGCUUCAACUUGUGAAUACAUUUAAAAAAAGAAACUUUUUCUUAUAUUUGUGUAUAAAAUUUCUAAAUCAAGCGAUGAUAUGUGAACAUAGUGUGUUCAUCAUCAUUGGAGAUUAUGUUUUUUUUCUACCGUGGCAACGCACGGGUCAUUUUGCUAGUAUAAAUAAAAGAAGAACAGGCCCUGAAGAGCUACGGGCUGAGGGAAAAAAGGAUAUAUCGUGUAUUCACUAUUCCAAAUCGGUGAGUUAUUGCCGUAUCGAUCCAACAAUCGGGCGGCUAGUUCUUAUGUACGUAUAUGCUUAGCUAGUUCUGUACGUACACAUCUAGUUGCACCGGCGUUCGACGUAAAUCCGACAUACGACAAGCAGCGUGAUUUCCAGCAGUUUUCAGGCUGUCUCCUUGUCUUUGUGCCUGGUCGACAUUUGCAGCCGACCAAGGUCUUGGUUCCUUUCUCAUUUCUUCCCUUCAUCCAGGGGCCUUCCCUGAAACGAAAAAGUCAUCCGUGGAAGCCCACCGGGAGGAGCAGAGGGAGGGAGGUAGUCCACAUCGGGUUGGUUGCCGCCUGGAAGAUGGCGGAGGUGGGCAUCGCCACAGAGGCCCAGUGAAGAAGGUCGGCCGCGUCAUGAACCAGCUCCAUGAUGUCGGCUUAGCACUGGUGCGCAUCCUUUUGCCACACGUAGUGCAGACCACCGAGACCGUCAACCGGCUGGCAAGGUGGCUGGAGGGAGGGUUAGCACUGGUCAAUGCUUAGUGAGCCUCCACAGUCCGAGCCGUUGCGGAGAUGGCGUUCACCUUCAUGCAGAGACGGCGAUCCCUGUUGACACCUCCCUGCUGGCCCUCGAAGAACCGGAUGGCGGCGAGGCCAAGACGGAGGACGACGGGACCACCUCCAGCACCGAAGCGUAUGUUGAAGCCGACGUCGAGGUGGACAUCGGUGCCAUCAUAGAGCCAAAGCAGUCUGGGGUCAAUGCACCCACCGGCUAGAGUUUUUAAUUUGUUCCUGUCUUUUUUAUGAUGCUUGAACUGUUGUUACUUUGCAAGUGUUGAGUAAAUAGGCAAUUUUUCGAGCAGAUUAAUCCAUGAAAUAAUUACUAACAUGGCAUUGGCUAGGUUCAUGACAUACUGAUUACGGAGUAUAGUAGCAAGUACUACGCAUAUAGGAGAAACAUCUACGCAUAUAGGCAAUACUACUAGUGCAGACAGAAACAGGAGAGAGACAAACACAUCAUACCCCCCGAUCGGCCAGUUGGCCGUUGCAGCAGCGGUGGAGGCGGCAGUAUCCUCUACCGCCUUCUUCUCGGCUUCGGCCAUCUCGCGGACGAGACGGUCAGCUUCGUUUGGUGAAGACAUGGCGAUGAAGAGGGCUACGUGGACGUAGACGAAGCAGACGGACGAAGGCGAACAGUCGCGUGAUCUCUCCCCAAAAACCUAAUCGCCCUUCUCCCAUACAAGAACCGGAGAGGCGAGGUUUCGAAGGCCUGCUCUCCCGUCGACCGUGUACGUGGUAAAGGCGACGGAGUCGCCGGCACCGGCAGCGGUCAAGGAACGAACGCGUGAGGCAGAUGUGAUCUGAUUCUCGUGACGGCUAGGGUAGGCGAUAGCCUGCUUAUAAAGGCGGCUGGGUGGAGAGACGUGGGCCAAACCCACCUCCGAGUCGGUAACAACCACGAUCCGACGUCUCGGAUCGUGCCUUGUCCGUUACGUAUUCUCCGUUCCUGACUGACAAAAAUAAGCGCGUAGGUAUGAACUCACCUCGGCUCAUUCCCGCAACCCGCGUCGCGUCGGGACGAGGCGGGCAACGGAGGAGGAGUGCGUGAGGGCAUCUUCUCUUCUCACUCUCGAAUAGCAUGUGGAAGAGAGACCCUUAUAAAGGGGUCCAACUUCUCCUCCACUAGCGGGGUGGGACUAAACUUACCACCACCUUGUCAUGCCACCACCUACAUGGGCCCUUGGAGAUUUUUCUGAAAUUUGUCUUAUGGGCCUAAGGCCUAUCUCUAAUUUCAACAGCAAGUCCACCAACUAGGGUGUUGGUUUAUGUAAUAAACUUCUGGUUGUGUCCCCUUUGCUCUGUAUAUAAACAUGUUUGGUGCACAUAUGUGUUUUUCAAUGUUUUAAAUAACGGGCUACGGCAAAUAGCAGUGAGCCACUAAAUCAGCUAUAGCGGGCUAUAACGGCAUAUUUGUACAUGAUACCAUUUAGCGGCAUCUUGCUGAAAAGGCUAUAACGCAGAGCUAUAGCGGGCUAUUUAAAACUAUGUUUUUUUUUUGGUUGUUGGAUCACUUUUAGCCUCCAUCCGUGGUGCCAUAUUCUUGUAAUCCUCCUCUUUCAGCUUCCGCCCACUAGCCGGAUAGCAGGGCCAGGGAGAUGGUGUGUAGCUAGGACCGUGAGUAGGCCUUCAGGAAAUCAGGAGGGGGUACAAUACUUAGGAUUUUAGGACUUAAGAGGAACUACAAUACUUAGGAUUUCAGGACUAAUGUUUGAGCGAAUGACCGAAGGGAAACUGAACCGCAGAUGGCAUGGCCGGCUGAGUCGCAGCCAGAGAGUGCGCACGCUAAUACCUUGUGGAGCCGGGGCACUCGAGCUCGACAGUUUUCCUUAGCCGUUUUUCGUGUGAGGGUUCUUUCAUCCUUUAGCUCUUGCCAGUCGGACAGUCCGGAUCCGUUUUGUGCCUCAAGACGAAGAGAGGGCUUUGACACCGUGCACACUACUAGUCCGGCUCGAAAAAAAGGAGGGCUCAAGUUGUCCGUCUACCCCGGACCGGACGAGCCUGACCCGAGCAAACAAAAAGAAAUGCAAUAAAUAAUAGAAAAUGCUCGAUAGAUAUGAAAAGUUAUCACAGAGUGUCACUCGGGGUACCAUCUGCUUUCAUUAAACCAAAAGUGGCCAUUCAUACAUACACUAGCUCACGUGUAAAAUGGGCGGAGGAGCUCCGCGUUUCGUUGGAGCUCUGUAUCCUCGCCGGAGGCGUUCUUUUUAAGCUUUUUUAACUUGUGUGCGUCAAUGAGUUAGUACGCAUUAUUGUAUAGGGCCUUGCUAACGAUGAAGGGGCCCUCCCAUGUAAAGGACAAUUCAUGUUGGCUCGCUCUCAGCUGGACCGACCGGAGCACCAGGUCAAACUUGCGGAACGCGAGGAGACGAAUAUUCUUGAUGUGGUGGCGACGCAUGCUCUUCGGGUAACUGGCUGACCGGGUCAAGGCUGUCUUCAUGCACGUCCUUUCCUUCUACCUAUUUGUACAUGGUGAUGUAAGGCAAAUCGGACUUGAUGUCGGUUUAGAUAACCGCCUCGGCCCCAUACACUAGAAAGAAAGGGUUGAAGCCAAAUGACCACUUGGGCAAAGUCCUGAGGGUGUAGAGCACAGCCAGCAGCUCGUACGAUUGAAUAGACGGUCAAGGGUCCAGCGCCUCAAUGAGCCCGGUUUUGAUGUCGGCGAGGAGUACGUUGUUGACCCUUUUCACAUGGUCAUUUUCCUGUGGAUGGGCAGCUUACGCGAGGUCCAAUCGGAUCCCCUGGGCUGCGCAUAAACAAUUGAGCGCAUUCGUGGCGAAGUUGGUGCCAUUGUGAGUGAUGAUGUUGUGGGGGACACCAUACCAGACAAUGAUGUCCUUGAUGAAUGUGACGGUCAUUGGGCCUUCCAGCUUCUUGAUCGGCUUGACCUCGAUCCUCUAGGUGAACUUGUCAAUGGUCACCAAUAGGUGCAUCAUGCCGCCUCGAGCGGUCAUGAAUGGUCCCACUAUAUCGAGGCUCCAAACGAUGAAGAGCCACGUGAUGGGGAUGGUCUUUAGGGCUGCAACUGAGUAGUGGUUUCGAGUGCUGAAGCUUUGGCACCCAUUGCACUUGUCGACCAGGUCUUUGGCGCCUUCUAGCGCAGUCGGCUAGAGAAGCUCUAGCGGAACGCCUUAGCCACCAGAGCCCUCUAGGAGGCAUGGUGGCCAUGUUCCCCCUAGUGGAUGGCCCUGAGGAUCUCGCGCCCCAGGGGAGGGGCGGGACGCCCCGAGCCGGAGGCGGGACUCGUCGAGUUCGUUGGGACGAAGAUGGACACCUAUGCUAUUAUAUUAUCAUUCUAGGAUACUUUGUAUGUUGUUUUAUAUCAUUUUUGAGAACUAACCUAUUGACCCAGCGCCUAGGGCCCUUCGCUGUUUUCUGUGUGUUUUUGACUUUGCACUAAACCAGUACCAAAUGGAUUCCAAAUGCUGUGAAACUUUUGGAAGGAUUUUUUUGACAAAAAAUACGACUUGCAAGCUUUGGAGGGAGGUCGGAUUCUACACGAGGCUGCACCAAGGCAACAUGGCGCACCUAGGGGGUAGGGCACGCCCUGUUACCUUGGGACCACAUCGUGGCUCUCUCUGGCCUAACUCAACCUCUAUAAAUUCUCUAAAACCGGGAACACACCAGAGAUCCACCCGAAAUACUUUUUUCUCUGCCGCAAGUAUCUGUUCUGACAUGAUCCAUAUGGAGCUCUGUUUCGAUGCCCUGUGGGAGGGGGAUCAAUCAUGGAGGGAAUCUACGUCAACCUUGAUGCUCCCAUAAUGUUGUGUGAGUAUUCCACCAUAGACCUAUGGGUCCAUAGCUAGUAUAUAUAUGGAUCAAUCUCUCUCAUUUAUCUUCAAUAAAAAGUUCACGGAGAUUCUUGCGGUGAUCUAUUCAAUGUAAUCUUGUUUGUGGUAUGUUUCUUGGGAUCCGAUGAAUUGUGCAUUUAUAAUCAUAUUAUUCAUGAAUAUUAAUUGAGUCUCCACUCAAUUCUUGUAUGCAUGAUUAUAAUAGCUUCGUAUUUCUCUCCGAUUUAUCGGUUUGCUUUGGAUAACUAGACUGAUUUAUCUAUGGUGGGAGUAGUGUGUUCUGAUGGUUUCAAUCUUGUUGUUCUCAAUCACAGGAACAUAAAGGCACAUGACACGUAUUUAUAUUACUGUUAUUAAGGAUAAAAGGAUUGGGUUUAUUCAUAUGAAUUGAGUUUACUUUGUCUACAUCAUGUCAUCUUGCUACAAGCAUUACUCUAUUUCAUACUUAAUAGUCUAGAUGCAUGUUGGACAACGGUCAAUGAGUGGAGUAAUAGUAGUAUAUGCAUCCAAGAGUUGGUAUACUUGCUUAUGGACGUGAUUCAUGUAUACAUAAUCAUUGCCACGAACAAAUAAUUCAUAACUAUGUGUUAUUCUAUCAAUUUCCCAACAGUAUGCCUUCUUUGCAAGACAAGCAUCUAGCAGAAUCUAAGGCCCUUGUAUACAGAAAAUAUAUUACUAAAACCCUAAAAAUAUGGCUUCCAUUUUUUUUAUUUUUUGUGUACAUAUAUAUUAUCUAUCUAUGAGUAUUUAAUGCGUGCAAAUAACUAGUUCAAGGGACUUGACAACCCUCUUGCGUGUGUUGGGUGCAAAUGUUUGAUUAUCUGUGUGUAGGUGUUGACGACGAGAGUUUGUAUGAUCCUCCUAUUGGUUAUAUAACCUUGGUUAUCACUAAGGAAAAUAAUUAUAUCUACUAUGAUGCAUCUCUUCUUCUCUUUAGGGAAAAACCGAAUGCAGUUUUCAAGUAGAAGGAACAUCAUCAAGUUCUUAUCAGGUUCCUUCAUACAAUGUAUCUAAUUCUUAUUUUCCAUCACAUUUUCCAGCCUAAAACUAUCAAAAACAAAAAAAUAUUUAUCUUUUGUAGUUUACUUGUUUUCUUUGUUUACAUGCUAGUUUACUUGCUUCGAUUGUUAGUUUAUUUGACUCGCCUCUAUGUCUCACGAUAAUACAAAGUUGUGCGACUUCUCACAUAAUGAUAACAAUGAUUUUAUUAGUACUCCUAUACAACCCUCCAUUAAUGCAGAGUUUUUUGAUAUUAAUGCUGUAUUAUUAAAUCUUGUUAUGAAAGAACAAAUUUCCAGAAGUCCUAAUGAGGACCCGGUUUCGCAUCUCAAUACUUUCGUUGAAUUAUAUGACAUGCAAAACAAAAUUGAUGUGGAUAAUGAUGUUCGCAGACUGAAAAUAUUUCCAUUUUCAAUAAGAGACAAAGCUAAAACUUGGUUUUCAUUGUUACCUCAUAGUAGUAUUGGAACGUGUGAUAAGUGUAAAGAUGUUAAUUCAAGUAUUUUCCUCCUACUAAGAUUAUCUCUCUUAGAAAUCAAAUUUUGAAUUUUAAAUAACAUGAGAAAGAACAUGUUGCAUAAGUACGGAGAGAAUGAAAUUGAUAAUUAGGAAUUUUCCCACGUAUAGGUUUGAGUUUAUGGAUGAUUGUACAAAAUUUAUAUGUGGGGCCAAACUUUGUAUCCAAAAAUAUUAUAGAUUCUGAUGCAGGUGGUACAUUUAUGGAAGUUACAGUUGGAGAGGCUACAAAUCUUCUGGUCAAGAUCUGGACAAACUGUUCUUAAUGGCACACCAAGCUAGAUCCAACUGAUAAGAAGGUAAAUCUUGUUCUCAUGACCACUUUGAGUGAUAUAAUGGAUGCUCUCAUGAAUAUGGUUGAUAAUAAACAUUCUCAUGUUCAUCCCAAUAAUAUGCCACUAUCAACUUUGAUUGAUCAAAAUGAUGAUGCUAUUGAUGUGAAUUUUGUCUCUCGAAAUAAUUUCAACAACAAUGAAUAUAGAGGGAAUUUCAACACAAGAACUUGUCCCCGUAAUUCCUCUAAUAAUUAAGGGAAUUACUAUGGAAAUUCAUCUAGCAAUAAUAAUAGGAUACACUACAGGAAUUGGCUUCUUUGCAAUUUUCUAUAGCGGAUGACAAAGUUCAAUGUCACGGACGGCAAACACCCAGCAGACGGCCCCACUUCCAGCACUAUAAGUUACGGUAAUCAGCAUCGUUGCGGUCUUCAAAACCAUAGUGGAUGGCAAAGAACUUCGUCAUCUGUAUUCCUGGACAAGCACACGACAAAGGUGCUAGACAGCAAAGCAUACCUGUCAGCCCUGUUAGGUGGCUACCGACAGCCUUUGCCAUGAGCUAGUUGUUGGCAAAGAAGCUCUGCAUUUGUCGUUUUCCUGUUGAUGUCAGCAAUCCAUAGCUUCGUGUCACUCCUGCCUCCAUCGUCGUUGUUUGCUACCUCCACCUUUGUCGUGUGGCAAUUGGCACUUUGUCAUCUACCUGCCCCUAGCUAACAACAAAGUGACUAAAUGGGUCACACAUGUUUCUCCAAGGAUGCACAGGUAGCUGCCUUGUGGCUUAUGAUUAUUCAAAUGAUGAUUUUUGGCUUCGCAGUGUGCUGUCAUGAACUUUACCACCUCCUCGGUAAUGAAUGCCUCGGCCAUUGAUGCUUCAACUAUAUAUUUAUUUUUACAUUUUGCUCAAAGUGUCUUCUGCAUCCUCUCACUUGCAAAGCACCAACGAUUUUGCAUGGCCCCUCCAAUCUUGGUUCGGUCGGGAGAUGUAAAAUCAAAGUUCUUUCAUCUACCACGACAGGCGAUAGUUCUUUCGCACAAAGAGCACGAAAUAAAUAGCCCAUCUCUGCCAUUACUAUCCAUUCCUCCUCAGGAAUAAAGCAACGCAACAUCACCGACAUUACCCGCUCAAGCCAUAUGUGCCAAUCAUUACUAUUGAGACCAAAUAUUUUCAAUUUUUCAAGACUUGCUCCACUCUUUAGAUUCACUGCAUACCAAUCGGGAACAUGAACUGCGUUUUCACCCACAAGGUAAUUUCCAUCAUAGUUCCCCUUUUUAGAUUGAACCAGGUCUUUGGCAUCAACCAGUUUUGCUUUCCAUUAGAUUGUCACAUGUUUUGCAACGGUCUAUCACAUAGAGUCUACCGAUCGAAUCUAGCCUUAGGAUUAUCCUUUUUGUUUUUCUCUAUGUCGAACAAUGUACUAAGAAUGGCCUCUCCGAUGUUCUUUUCAGUGUGCAUCACAUCAAUGUUGUGUGUAAGACUGAGGCUUUUGAUGUAAGGUAGAUCCCACAAGCAUGUCGUGUGAGUCCAGGCGUGUUCCGAAUUAUAACCCUUGAAAUACCCAUGACGCUUUGGAUCAUGCUCAAGAGUGUUUAACUCAUCCAGGAUCUGUUGGCCUGUCAUCACAAGUGGUGUAGAGUUUUUGACAACUGUACCUUUGAUUAAGUUAUUCUUGUGUUUUCUCAAAACAUGCCCAAGAUCCGGAAACUGUUUAUGCAAGUCGGAUCAAGAAUACUUCCUACCUGGCCCCAGCCAAUGAAAUUAAAGAGCUGCAUUGCAUGUGGGGCACGAGAACCUUCCAUGCACCAUCCAGCGAAUAGAACAUACGCCGGCAAGUCAUACAUUGAGUACAUGUACCAAACAUGCAUUUUGAUGUUUCCUUUUCUAGCGGCAUUGUAUGUCUUGAACCCAUUAUCCCAAGCUUCUUGAAAUUCAUCCUUAAGAGGCUGCAUGUACUCAUUCAUAUUAUUCCCCGGAUUGUUGGUCCCUGGAAUUACCAACGUUAGGAAUAUGUUCUUUCUUUGCAUAAUCUGUCCGGGGGCGAGUGAAUGGAAUGACAAAUACAUGCCAACAACUGUACUGGGUUGCCGUCAUACUGAAUGGAUUGAGCCCAUAUGUGUCGAUGCAUACUCUAGGAUGCCUUGGAUUUGCCACUUUAUCCGGAUGUAAUGCAACGCAGUGCUUCCACAGAAAAGCAUCCAAUGUGUGUACCAACACCUGAUUCCCAUCUGCAUAUAUUUAAUCUCGUUUGCCCAAUUUGUGCCAUGCAUCUAUCUGGCCAUCCCUUAGACCAUUAAAAUACGUUGAAGUCUUGGUAUGACUGGCAUAUACUGAAGAACAUUAACGUGGGGUUUGGUCUACCUCUUCUUUCCCAUACCACUGUCUACCACAACAUACCUCAAAGACUUGCAAAUGGGACAACAGUUCAAGUCCGCAAACUCAAGCCUAUAAAUGGCACGUCCUUUCUCACAAACAUCUAUAUUAUCAUACGACAUCUUAAGUACACAAAGUAUUUUGUCCGACUGGUACAGGUUUGCAGGCAUGACAUGGCCUUUGGGUAUAAAGCUUCCAAAUAGUGCCAUCAUCGCGUCCUAGCAGUCUCUGCCCAGGUUGGUUUUGACCCUUCAAAGACAUUACUUGUGCGAUGGCAUACAACUGACAAAGCUCGGUGUUCUCGUGGAGAGGAUGUUUUGAAGACUCCAACAUUUCAUACAAGUCCUUUGCAGAUUCCUCAAUCUCAUCGUUCGAAUUCCGAGCAUGAUCAAAUUAUUGCACUAUGUCUUCGAUCCUGGUAGUAUGCUCGUCGGUGUGACGAUGAACCACCUUAGCUCUCGUACGUUGGGGAGACUCACCAUGAAAUGUCCACACCAUAUAAUCACACCUAAAACCCCUCUUCUACAGGUGUUUACCCAUUUCAUUCUCUGCCAUAUAUGAAAAGUUGUCGCACUUAUGAUAGGGGCACCAGGUAUUUCUCUGGCCAUUUGCAAAUGCGUCUUUCACAAACCCCUUGAUUUUUUAAUAAUUCAUUGGUCAUCCCUUUCUGACUAGUGUGACCGGUAUGCAUCCAAGCAUGAUCACCUAUGUCACUACUUGCACUAACAAUACGGGCACCAAAUUCAUAUUCAUAAAGUUAUAUAUAAUGUAAUUAAGACUAGAUACAUAACUAAUUACUAUUGUCAUAUUAUUUACACCAUAGUUUUAUUUUUAUCAUAAAAAAGGGAAACAUGCAUUCAUGGUUUGAAUCCUACCUUUAAUAGGUAAACAUGGGUCCUAAUGCCACCCGAGUACAUGUAGAUUGGGUUAGUUCCUAGUGCUCUACUUUGGUCCGAGGCAAAAUUUCGGCCAUACCUCCCCGCUAUUCUCGAGAUACAUGUUUGGCAACAAGCCGAGAGAAUGUGUACCCAGAGAACAAUCGGAUGGCAUUGAUGAAAUUUUUCGUCACACUGAAGUAGAGCACAUGAAAUGAAUACAAAUCUACAAUUACUCACGCUGUCCAUGGAUAAUGUGGACAAUUCGAAAGGAUGGCGGUUAUAAAUAUGCAAAGACAUGCAUAUUUAUAGAUGCCGCCCUUUCGAACGGGAGACGCCUAGGUUAUGAGACUUGACAAGAAAGUAAAAUCUAGUCGCAUCGGAACAACGAACGAAACAAAGCAAAAUAUGGGAGGGGAAGGAGGUGACAGCCGAGCUCACCUCUAGUCGAACGACGACGACAAGAACAACGGGACCAAUGGUGCUCCUGGAGGUGAAGUGAAGAUCCCUGCACAUGAAAACUAGUUUAAACAUUAUAAGAUCAUCUCAUGAGGCACGAGGCAGGCAAUUAUUGUAGUUAAACUAUAGAAUAAAUAAUGGGCAGGAAUAUUGAAAAACUGCAGUAUUUUUGUCACUCACUACUAGAUACCAUAGUUUUGACAUAUUAAAGUAUUUUUGUAGUAUUUGGAAUACUGUGACACUUUUUGGUUGGUGGAUGUUUACAACGACAAAAAAAAAAAAA